UUACAGAAAGCGUGUGUGUG
RNAcentral lists this microRNA (20 nucleotides) under Ciona intestinalis (vase tunicate). Its description in RNAcentral is "cin-miR-4014-3p". The record is from miRBase by way of RNAcentral. Lineage: Eukaryota; Metazoa; Chordata; Ascidiacea; Phlebobranchia; Cionidae.